UACGUAGGGUGCGAGCGUUAAUCGGGAUUACUGGGCGUAAAGCGUGCGCAGGCGGUUUUGUAAGCCAGAUGUGAAAGCCCCGGGCUUAACCUGGGAAUGGCAUUUGGGACUGCAAGGCUGGAGUGUGGCAGAGGAGACUGGAAUUCCUGGUGUAGCAGUGAAAUGCGUAGAUAUCAGGAGGAAUACCGAUGGCGAAGGCAGGUCUCUGGGCUGACACUGACGCUCAUGCACGAAAGCGUGGGGAGCAAACAGG
RNAcentral lists this ribosomal RNA (253 nucleotides) under uncultured bacterium. RNAcentral's name for it is "partial 16S ribosomal RNA". It matches the Rfam family "Bacterial small subunit ribosomal RNA", at positions 524 to 776 of the family's 1533-position model. The record is from RNAcentral.